RNAcentral lists this long non-coding RNA (199 nucleotides) under Elaeis guineensis (African oil palm). Its description in RNAcentral is "long non-coding RNA (EGUI_LNC061907)". The record is from RNAcentral. Lineage: Eukaryota; Viridiplantae; Streptophyta; Magnoliopsida; Arecales; Arecaceae.
UAGGAAAGUAAGAUGAUUCCGAUGCAGUUGGUUCAUUCUCUAUUUUAAGGUCCUCCUUGUUCUUGGGUGAUUUGGCUUCGGUUAGAGGUUUAGGGUCGAUCUCAUUGGUUUUACUAGUGUGUUCAAUGAUCUUCCCACUUCUCAGAGUCAUGAUUGAUUUGGCAUGUUCAGAAAAAGCUUCUGGGGUAUUAGAGCUCUC